RNAcentral lists this ribosomal RNA (441 nucleotides) under uncultured bacterium. RNAcentral describes it as "partial 16S ribosomal RNA". It matches the Rfam family "Bacterial small subunit ribosomal RNA", at positions 338 to 795 of the family's 1533-position model. The record is from RNAcentral.
CCUACGGGGGGCAGCAGUGGGGAAUAUUGCACAAUGGGGGAAACCCUGAUGCAGCGACGCCGCGUGGGUGACGAAGUAUUUCGGUAUGUAAAGCCCUAUCAGCAGGGAAGAAGAUGACAGUACCUGACCAAGAAGCCCCGGCUAACUACGUGCCAGCAGCCGCGGUAAUACGUAGGGGGCAAGCGUUAUCCGGAUUUACUGGAUGUAAAGGGAGCGUAGGUGGCAUGGCAAGCCAGAAGUGAAAACCCGGGGCUUAACCCCGCGGAUUGCUUUUGGAACUGUCAGGCUGGAGUGCAGGAGGGGCAGGCGGAAUUCCUGGUGUAGCGGUGAAAUGCGUAGAUAUCAGGAGGAACACCGGUGGCGAAGGCGGCCUGCUGGACUGUAACUGACACUGAGGCUCGAAAGCGUGGGGAGCAAACAGGAUUAGAUACCCCAGUAGUC